This 433-nucleotide ribosomal RNA is filed under the name uncultured bacterium. RNAcentral describes it as "partial 16S ribosomal RNA". It matches the Rfam family "Bacterial small subunit ribosomal RNA", at positions 29 to 507 of the family's 1533-position model. The record is from RNAcentral.
AACGAACGCUGGCGGCAUGCCUAACACAUGCAAGUCGAACGAGACCUUCGGGUCUAGUGGCGCACGGGUGCGUAACGCGUGGGAACCUGCCCUUAGGUUCGGAAUAACUCCCCGAAAGGGGUGCUAAUACCGGAUAAUGUCUUCGGACCAAAGAUUUAUCGCCUUUGGAUGGGCCCGCGUUGGAUUAGCUGGUUGGUAGGGUAAAAGCCUACCAAGGCGACGAUCCAUAGCUGGUCUGAGAGGAUGAUCAGCCACACUGGGACUGAGAAACGGCCCAGACUCCUACGGGAGGCAGCAGUGGGGAAUAUUGGACAAUGGGGGAAGGCCUGAUCCAGCAAUGCCGCGUGAGUGAUGAAGGCCUUAGGGUUGUAAAGCUCUUUUACCCGGGAUGAUAAUGACAGUACCGGGAGAAUAAGCUCCGGCUAACUCCGUG